UCCAUCAUAGAAUCCAUCUUGAAGGUGUUAAUCUAUCAUAGAACAAUCUUACUUUUUCACAAGAAAUCCAAUGGAUCGGGUCAUGAAGGUCUUUUUUGUCAUCGCCCUGCUUCUUGUGGCCACAGAGGACCAGGGAGCAGUACAAGUAGCUUUGGCAAGGGAGUGUAAGCCACCGAUCCACCAGUUUGGCGGGUUGUGCACGAAUGACGACAAUUGUUUACGUAAUUGCCUGGCCGAUGGUUUUACCAAAGGAGUGUGUCAGGGUUUUAACGGAGGCAUAUGUUUGUGCACCAGGGACUGCUAGAUGUCCCUAUUUUCUUCUGAUAUACAGUCCGUGUAAUAAUAACUGAAUAAUACUAUAUCCGCAUCAAUGUAAUUUACGAUGCAUCCUCCAAAGUA
Molecule: long non-coding RNA, 399 nt
Organism: Triticum dicoccoides
Lineage: Eukaryota; Viridiplantae; Streptophyta; Magnoliopsida; Poales; Poaceae
Exons: 2
Source: RefSeq, a predicted model, not a curated record